This 31-nucleotide non-coding RNA is filed under the name Homo sapiens (human). Lineage: Eukaryota; Metazoa; Chordata; Mammalia; Primates; Hominidae. The record is from RNAcentral.
UUUACUCUUGGAAUGCAGGAUCUGCCACACC